This 30-nucleotide small RNA is filed under the name Bombyx mori (domestic silkworm). RNAcentral's name for it is "ovarian small RNA-13717". The record is from RNAcentral. Lineage: Eukaryota; Metazoa; Arthropoda; Insecta; Lepidoptera; Bombycidae.
CCCUACUCCAUUGCCCCCGCUAUCGGGCGC